RNAcentral lists this ribosomal RNA (398 nucleotides) under uncultured bacterium. RNAcentral describes it as "partial 16S ribosomal RNA". It matches the Rfam family "Bacterial small subunit ribosomal RNA", at positions 523 to 918 of the family's 1533-position model. The record is from RNAcentral.
AUACGUAGGGUGCGAGCGUUGUCCGGAAUUACUGGGCGUAAAGAGCUCGUAGGUGGUUUGUCGCGUCGUCUGUGAAAUUCCGGGGCUUAACUCCGGGCGUGCAGGCGAUACGGGCAUAACUUGAGUACUGUAGGGGAGACUGGAAUUCCUGGUGUAGCGGUGAAAUGCGCAGAUAUCAGGAGGAACACCGGUGGCGAAGGCGGGUCUCUGGGCAGUAACUGACGCUGAGGAGCGAAAGCAUGGGUAGCGAACAGGAUUAGAUACCCUGGUAUUCCAUGCCGUAAACGGUGGGCGCUAGGUGUAGGGGUCUUCCACGACUUCUGUGCCGUAGCUAACGCAUUAAGCGCCCCGCCUGGGGAGUACGGCCGCAAGGCUAAAACUCAAAUGAAUUGACGGGG